Molecule: long non-coding RNA, 1500 nt
Filed under: Cottoperca gobio
Lineage: Eukaryota; Metazoa; Chordata; Actinopteri; Perciformes; Bovichtidae
Description: lncRNA (ENSCGOG00000009204.1)
Source: RNAcentral
UCAACGGCUGCCUUAAGGCUGUUUACACCUCCUCUACUUUGGCAGCAAAAUGUCUACAGUGUUGCUGCAGUUCCCUGAUAGUUUGAUAUGUUGUUUGGGUCUGUGGUUUCUCUUUGGUCUUCUUGGACGUGUCAUUGCCUGCAGGAUCCGUGGAUACAUUUCAUUGUACAGCAUCAGCACACAGAUGAUGAAGUAAAGGACAUUAGAUGCUUCAUGCUGCAGCAAAGUCCCCCACCAAAGAAGCCUGUCUGUAUCUUCAUCCUCUCUUCAACCGAGUUCUAAUGGAGUCUCCACAGACAGGACGAGUACAAAGGGGCUGAAGCAGGCAGACAGGCACUCAGACUACUGAGAGCCGGCGCUUGGCAGAGAUCCGAUCCACAUGAGAGCCUCCUUAGAUCACAAUCCUGCCUUCACUCAGGUACGCAGAUUCACUCCCACCCCUCCACCGCAGCACCCCUUUCUCCAUCUUCUCCUCGCUUUCCUUCAUCAUAGUCUCCCCCUCAUUAAAACUCUUAAUUGACUCAUUCACACCUGCUCGUGCACUGGCUCAUUUGGGACAAGCCUCCACCACCAGAGCAGAUUUUCUCAUCAACUGCAAGUUCACUCCGGUGCACACUGUCCUUCACUCACCUACAGGGCUAAACAAUGAUCUCAGACUGUGUGUACGUAUGCGGGUGAAUAUCACUGUGUUAAAGUAUGUGCACUCACAUGUGUGAGUGCACAUACAUGAAACAAAGUGGAAGAUUCUUCGAGAAAAAAUACAAAGUUCUGAGAGAGGCUGUAAUCAAUAAUCUUUUAUUUGAGUUGUAUUAAUGUUAGUUUUCGUUAAAUCAAAGAGGAAUGAUCUAAACUGUACAUUGGAAGGUAAAACUGAAAGUAAAUACAUCUCUGUUUAUUGCAAUGUAAAACUGUGUUCACACAGGCUGUGGUAAGUACGUUACAGUAGGUUAAGGUGGAACCAGGAAGCACAGUAGCUUAUCUAGUAGGAACCAGUACUUGGAUUGUAUCUUGUUGUCCCAUAUCCAGCUAAUUGCGCGCUAGCUUAGUCAUUCUCGUGCUUCAGCUCUGCUUUUAAAUGAUCUCAUACAUAGAUGCCAGAAAAAGUAAUUUCUCAUCACCAGUGGCCUCAGGUACAUCUUCAUCUCCAGAGCUACAGUCAUCAAAAUCUUCCAAUAACAAAUCUGCGCUAAAACUGAUACCCAGAUGCUGACUAUCAUGUUACUAUGAUAGUACGCUAAUAUAAGCACGUGUUUUAAUCAUUGUGUUAUAAAUUAUAAUAAAAGGUGCGGUCAUGUGACCAAAAAACAUCUAUUACUUGCCUUGGGUCUGUAGCGACCCUAUAGUUAAAGUAAAAGAAAGAAUAACACUAGAAAAACAAAGCUUUGUGUUAAUUUUAACAAUUUUAACCAAGCAAAUUGUUAAAAACAAAUAAUUUGAUUAACACCAAGGAGUUGAGGGCUUACUUGAAUAAGAUGAGUAGGUGUAACAUAGUAAAACCUG